RNAcentral lists this ribosomal RNA (253 nucleotides) under uncultured bacterium. Its description in RNAcentral is "partial 16S ribosomal RNA". It matches the Rfam family "Bacterial small subunit ribosomal RNA", at positions 524 to 776 of the family's 1533-position model. The record is from RNAcentral.
UACGAAGGACCCAAGCGUUAUCCGGAUUCAUUGGGUUUAAAGGGUGCGUAGGCGGAUUAAAAAGUCAGUGGUGAAAGCCCAACGCUUAACGUUGGAACUGCCAUUGAUACUCUUGAUCUUGAAUGUGUUUGAUGUGGGCGGAAUAUGACAUGUAGCGGUGAAAUGCUUAGAUAUGUCAUAGAACACCGAUUGCGAAGGCAGCUCACAAAGCCACUAUUGACGCUGAGGCACGAAAGCGUGGGGAUCAAACAGG